This 323-nucleotide ribosomal RNA is filed under the name uncultured Chloroflexota bacterium. Its description in RNAcentral is "bacterial SSU rRNA". It matches the Rfam family "Bacterial small subunit ribosomal RNA", at positions 28 to 351 of the family's 1533-position model. The record is from RNAcentral. Lineage: Bacteria; Bacillati; Chloroflexota.
GAUGAACGCUGGCGGCGUGCCUAAUACAUGCAAGUCGAACGCGAAGCCUGACUUCGGUGAGGCGGAGAGUGGCGGACGGGUGAGUAACACAUGGCUGACCUGCCCUUCAGAGGGGGACAACCACUGGAAACGGUGGCUAAUACCCCAUACGCUCGUGGUGGUUAGGGGACUACGAGGAAAGGUUGAGGCGCUGAAGGAGGGGGCUGUGGCCCAUCAGCUAGUUGGUAGGGUAACGGCCUACCAAGGCGAGGACGGGUAGGGGGCCUGAGAGGGUGGCCCCCCACAAUGGAACUGAAACACGGUCCAUACACCUACGGAGGCUG